AAGCCUGAAUUACACAGUGGAAAUUGUUACUGGCAAAGAGUAUCAAUAGCUCUGAGACUGCGGGUACGUAUCUACCUAUCUACCUGCCAACCUCCUACAUGUAAUCCAGGUACUACGCCCCAUCCAGUGAGCAACUUCAGCAUCGUCUACAUGGCACAGCGGCAAUGCCUAAUAACCAAGUAUCAUCCGAGAAGUACGUAGCUGAGAAUUUCUACGAUUCCAGAUCCGAUCUGGGAUCUAAUGUGGGCCAGCCACGCGAACCUAUCAUAACCUGGGCCAACGCGAGGUCUAACCACAUGUUUGCCCACGUAACCUCUUCCCGGCUCGGCAAGCAGGACACAGAGUCCAGCUAACGAAACAACACCGAAAACCAGGUAGCAGUCCCGUACUGGAUGAUCAGGAUCAAGCUGGGACUUUGCCCUGGACCAAAUACGUAUCCUUAACCACCCACAGGACUUCUUCGGUACCGACCAGCACCUACCCUCUAAUGAUCGAAGAGGCUGGCUCCGCCUAUGGGCACUUUAUAUGCACUGUGAAUAUUUACACCUCCUCAUCCAGGAUCUGAUCAAUGCCGUGUCCGUAUCCUUGGGAAACUACAGGGACGCUGAUGCAUCCUGCUCCGGAGUAAUAAUGGAAUGCACCUGUGACUUCCUGCUAAAAACAAACAAGAUCAGCCUGCGAAUGCAGAGGGAGAUCUUCUCGUUCCUGGAUGCUGUGAUCCUGGGGAUCCUGGAGAUUGAACGCCCGCGCGCGAUCCAUUACCUACCUGCGCAUAUUGCAAUGGCCUUUACUUUACAAAGUGCAACAAGCUUCGAGAAUUCCACGGCGCCGCUUCCUCUACCUCGUCAUCUUCAUUCCCAGCCGUCUGUCUACCGAGUAAUGGUCUUUUCACAUUCGCCACUGGCUAAUGGAUCACCGUUCCGUUUUACACGCUUGUGCUUCGUUGCUCACUACCUUUGACACGUGGAACAAGAUCUUAGCUGAUUAUUUUCCACGAGUCUGCGUUAUACAGGCCCUUUCAAAUUUUAUUUAUCGGUGCGACCGUCAUAUUUAUCUCUGACCAGCUUCCUUUUACGGAGCUCGGUAUACCCUUACAAAUUAAAUCUUGUAUGAUAUAACGUGUCUGGAUACCUAAUAAGU
Long non-coding RNA from Cephus cinctus (wheat stem sawfly), 1140 nucleotides. RefSeq lists it as uncharacterized. The record is from RefSeq and is a predicted model, not a curated record. Lineage: Eukaryota; Metazoa; Arthropoda; Insecta; Hymenoptera; Cephidae. The transcript has 3 exons.